RNAcentral lists this ribosomal RNA (253 nucleotides) under uncultured bacterium. Its description in RNAcentral is "partial 16S ribosomal RNA". It matches the Rfam family "Bacterial small subunit ribosomal RNA", at positions 524 to 776 of the family's 1533-position model. The record is from RNAcentral.
UACGUAGGGGGCUAGCGUUGUCCGGAUUUAUUGGGCGUAAAGAGCGUGUAGGCGGUCAGGUAGGUCGGUUGUGAAAACUGGAGGCUCAACCUUCAGAGGUCGACCGAAACCCCUUGGCUAGAGUCCGGGAGAGGAGAGUGGAAUUCCUGGUGUAGCGGUGAAAUGCGCAGAUAUCAGGAAGAACACCCGUGGCGAAAGCGGCUCUCUGGAACGGUACUGACGCUGAGACGCGAAAGCGUGGGGAGCGAACAGG